This 759-nucleotide ribosomal RNA is filed under the name uncultured Actinomycetes bacterium. RNAcentral's name for it is "bacterial SSU rRNA". It matches the Rfam family "Bacterial small subunit ribosomal RNA", at positions 701 to 1461 of the family's 1533-position model. The record is from RNAcentral. Lineage: Bacteria; Bacillati; Actinomycetota; Actinomycetes.
GAGGAACACCGAUGGCGAAGGCAGGUCUCUGGGCCAAUACUGACACUGAGGAGCGAAAGCGUGGGGAGCGAACAGGAUUAGAUACCCUGGUAGUCCACGCCGUAAACGGUGGGCGCUAGUUGUGCGAACCUUCCACGGUUUGUGCGACGCAGCUAACGCAUUAAGCGCCCCGCCUGGGGAGUACGAUCGCAAGAUUAAAACUCAAAGGAAUUGACGGGGCCCCGCACAAGCAGCGGAGCAUGCGGCUUAAUUCGACGCAACGCGAAGAACCUUACCAAGGCUUGACAUAUACAGGAAUACGGCAGAGAUGUCGUAGCGGUUAAACGUCUGUAUACAGGUGGUGCAUGGUUGUCGUCAGCUCGUGUCGUGAGAUGUUGGGUUAAGUCCCGCAACGAGCGCAACCCUCGUUCUGUGUUGCCAGCAUUUAGUUGGGGACUCACAGGAGACUGCCGGGGUUAACUCGGAGGAAGGUGGGGAUGACGUCAAAUCAUCAUGCCCCUUAUGUCUUGGGCUGCACGCAUGCUACAAUGGCUGGUACAAAGGGCUGCAAUACUGCAAAGUGGAGCGAAUCCCAAAAAGCCAGUCUCAGUUCGGAUUGGGGUCUGCAACUCGACCCCAUGAAGUCGGAGUUGCUAGUAAUCGUAGAUCAGCAACGCUACGGUGAAUACGUUCCCGGGGCUUGUACACACCGCCCGUCACAUCACGAAAGUCGGUAACACCCGAAGUCAGUGCCCAACCGCAAGGAGGGAGCUGCCGAAG